UUCUUUUUCUUGAUCUAAGUCUGCAACACAAUAUCUUUCUUUAGAGAAAACCAAAUACACAGCAGUGAAAGAUCUUGUAACGUCUAUCAUUUGCCUUUCAAUAAACACAAACGUGACACUGGACUCGCUCAUUAUCUUUUGCAGCUGUCAUGGAUCAUCUCAAUCNUGAUAUGGAAAAAGAUGCAGAAUUAAUCAUUAUCUUCUCGACCAUAGUUAUACACAAUCUCAAUCCCAGAAGGUGGAGUUGGAUUUCGAGUAAACUUGCUACCGCCAGGAGCCCAAGGAACAAUAUAAGGAUCAGGGUGCCGCCACUUAUUAUACUGUGCCUCACCUUCAGCAAUCAUUCUAUCAAUAGCGUCCAGAUCCUCCACAUGCUUGUUGGCGUCGAACUUCUCGCGGAGGUUCGAAGCAUCUUGAUAGAAGAGGUGGCGGUGGACGGCCCAGUUGAGAGUGUCUCUCAGAGAUCGACGAUAAAGGAUCUGAACUCUCUCCUUCUGUGCUGCUCUCCUCGCUAGGUACGCCGCGGUUGACACGCUCAUCUCUCUCGUUCGCUCGCGCUCUCUCUCUCUCUCUCGAUCUCUCGAC
RNAcentral lists this unclassified non-coding RNA (585 nucleotides) under Hevea brasiliensis (rubber tree). Lineage: Eukaryota; Viridiplantae; Streptophyta; Magnoliopsida; Malpighiales; Euphorbiaceae. The record is from RNAcentral.